AUGCUCACUUCAGAGCAUAAACACUAAAUAUUGAGUAAGACAAAGAAAAUUAGCAUGACCCCUAUACAACGAUGACACGCAAACUCAUGAGGCAUUCCAUAUAAAA
RNAcentral lists this small nuclear RNA (106 nucleotides) under Castor canadensis (American beaver). Lineage: Eukaryota; Metazoa; Chordata; Mammalia; Rodentia; Castoridae. The record is from RNAcentral.